RNAcentral lists this microRNA (21 nucleotides) under Cordylochernes scorpioides. Lineage: Eukaryota; Metazoa; Arthropoda; Arachnida; Pseudoscorpiones; Chernetidae. The record is from RNAcentral.
GGUCGACACUGCCUCGAGGAA